CCUACGGGUGGCAGCAGUGAGGAAUAUUGGUCAAUGGCCGUAAGGCUGAACCAGCCAAGCCGCGUGAAGGAAGAAGGAUCUCUGGAUUGUAAACUUCUUUUGUAGGGGAAUAAAGGUAUCGAAGCGUGCCUAUUUGCAUGUACCCUAUGAAUAAGCAUCGGCUAACUCCGUGCCAGCAGCCGCGGUAAUACGGAGGAUGCGAGCGUUAUCCGGAUUUAUUGGGUUUAAAGGGUGCGUAGGGUGUUUUUUAAGUCAGAGGUGAAAGUUUGGGGCUCAACCAUAAAAGGGCCGUUGAAACUGGAAGACUUGAGUGUGUUUGAGGUAGGCGGAAUGCGUGGUGUAGCGGUGAAAUGCAUAGAUAUCACGCAGAACUCCGAUUGCGAAGGCAGCUUACUAAGCCAUAACUGACACUGAGGCACGAAAGCGUGGGGAUCAAACAGGAUUAGAUACCCUUGUAGUC
This 460-nucleotide ribosomal RNA is filed under the name uncultured bacterium. RNAcentral describes it as "partial 16S ribosomal RNA". It matches the Rfam family "Bacterial small subunit ribosomal RNA", at positions 338 to 795 of the family's 1533-position model. The record is from RNAcentral.